This 983-nucleotide long non-coding RNA is filed under the name Homo sapiens (human). Its description in RNAcentral is "HSALNT0108702". Lineage: Eukaryota; Metazoa; Chordata; Mammalia; Primates; Hominidae. The record is from RNAcentral.
UAGGCGCCCUGCAGCGCAGAGAGGGGCUGCCCCUGGACAAGCCGGGAGUUCUUGUUCUUCCCAUGGCGAAACGGCCUCUUUUGCCGCGGUAGUUGUUUCCAGUCCCGGCAAAGCAGGUCCUGUCCGGCUGGAUACUGUGACUGUGCAGUCUACCAACAGCGAGAAUCAGUUCAAGCAGGGAGAAAGUUGUUCGGAGAAGGGGCGAGGAGUCCGGGGCUCCGCGCGGGGGACCCAGGAACCAGGUGUCCGCGCUUGGGCGGCAGCGAGGCUGCGUGGCGGUUGCGGCAAGAACCACUGCUCACUCGGCCCCGGAUCGGGCCGGCUUGGACUGGGCUGCCCUGCAUAGGGGGGAACCUUCCCGCACAACUAAGUUGCCAUUCGGUCUUUGGAGGAGGGGGCUUGGGAUGGGAAUUUCGCACCCCUUUGCCUCUUCCCGCUCCUACCCUCGCCGACGCAUUUACUUUAUUUAGAGCCCCUACCUUCUCAGUCGUUUAAAUGUUACUGUUUUUAUUAGUGACAUACCUGUGAGUCACCUUUUAAAAUAUGAAGUACCUAUGCAAAUUUGAAUUAUAUGGUAAAAACACAUCACCUUUACAAUGAAAACAGCUUCUUUUAAGGCAACGAAAUAACAAUUGACUAUAAUGCUAAAUGUAUCCGCUGAAAAAAGCCUACUUGCACAUGAGAAUUACACGUUUUUCUGCAACAUUUAUAUGUAGCGACUUGGAAACUUCUGGAAAUCUAGAAGAUUCUGACGAGGAGACAAAUUUCUGAUACUUAAAGACUCCAUGGUUCUGUGGGUGGAGAAAUAAAAACUCUAAGUUCUGAUAAGAUGUUUUAGAAUUCAACUAAAACAAUAAAAUAUUAAGAGUAAAAUAGGGAAGUAAGAAAGAGGAAGAGAAACAAAGAAAGGAAAUAAUUUACAGCAAUCUCAGAAAUUUAAUUCCAAAUUGCCAGAAGCUCAAGUGUGGUAAUUUGAAGAAAAG